Molecule: ribosomal RNA, 1078 nt
Filed under: Bacillus pumilus
Lineage: Bacteria; Bacillati; Bacillota; Bacilli; Caryophanales; Bacillaceae
Description: bacterial SSU rRNA
Rfam family: Bacterial small subunit ribosomal RNA
Source: RNAcentral
GCUUGCUCCCGGAUGUUAGCGGCGGACGGGUGAGUAACACGUGGGUAACCUGCCUGUAAGACUGGGAUAACUCCGGGAAACCGGAGCUAAUACCGGAUAGUUCCUUGAACCGCAUGGUUCAAGGAUGAAAGACGGUUUCGGCUGUCACUUACAGAUGGACCCGCGGCGCAUUAGCUAGUUGGUGGGGUAAUGGCUCACCAAGGCGACGAUGCGUAGCCGACCUGAGAGGGUGAUCGGCCACACUGGGACUGAGACACGGCCCAGACUCCUACGGGAGGCAGCAGUAGGGAAUCUUCCGCAAUGGACGAAAGUCUGACGGAGCAACGCCGCGUGAGUGAUGAAGGUUUUCGGAUCGUAAAGCUCUGUUGUUAGGGAAGAACAAGUGCGAGAGUAACUGCUCGCACCUUGACGGUACCUAACCAGAAAGCCACGGCUAACUACGUGCCAGCAGCCGCGGUAAUACGUAGGUGGCAAGCGUUGUCCGGAAUUAUUGGGCGUAAAGGGCUCGCAGGCGGUUUCUUAAGUCUGAUGUGAAAGCCCCCGGCUCAACCGGGGAGGGUCAUUGGAAACUGGGAAACUUGAGUGCAGAAGAGGAGAGUGGAAUUCCACGUGUAGCGGUGAAAUGCGUAGAGAUGUGGAGGAACACCAGUGGCGAAGGCGACUCUCUGGUCUGUAACUGACGCUGAGGAGCGAAAGCGUGGGGAGCGAACAGGAUUAGAUACCCUGGUAGUCCACGCCGUAAACGAUGAGUGCUAAGUGUUAAGGGGGUUUCCGCCCCUUAGUGCUGCAGCUAACGCAUUAAGCACUCCGCCCUGGGGAGUACGGUCGCAAGACUGAAACUCAAAGGAAUUGACGGGGGCCCGCACAAGCGGUGGAGCAUGUGGUUUAAUUCGAAGCAACGCGAAGAACCUUACCAGGUCUUGACAUCCUCUGACAACCCUAGAGAUAGGGCUUUCCCUUCGGGGACAGAGUGACAGGUGGUGCAUGGUUGUCGUCAGCUCGUGUCGUGAGAUGUUGGGUUAAGUCCCGCAACGAGCGCAACCCUUGAUCUUAGUUGCCAGCAUUUAGUUGGGCACUC